GCUUAUGAAUCAACUGAAGAAAUCAAUGAGGCGAUUGAACCCAUGGAAAGACCUCCUGUGUGAAAAAACUCAUUGAAUUUGGGGCAAAUGUAUGUUUUUUACCAUUCCCUUAUCUUCUCUAUUGAGGCAUUUUCAAGUAAUAUGUCUUUACAUAUUUGUUGGUGUUCGUAAUUUAUGGGGCUAAUCUUGAAUAUUGGGCCAGAUUUUAGUGUUUAAUUCACUAAAUGAAGACGAAAGGCACAUGCAUGUUAUUUCACUCUCUUAUAAUUUUAUCAGUUAUUUCAUUUGAUAAUUUAUUCAUAUAGAUAGGCUCAUGAAAAAGCUCAAGACUGGGAUACUUGCAAAUAAUUUAGAGGAGAUUGUUUAUAUUUUUGAAUAAUUCAGAGAAGACUAUGUCAUUUAAGUUUCCUGUAUAUGAAAGGCUCAUUAUUCACAAAUACAUAUCAAAUCUGGGUCAAAACCAUUCACUUAAGAUUACAUAUACGAAAUAUGAUCUUUCAUUUUAUUUAAUUUAAUCUCCAAUAUGUAAAAAUUAACUACUGAAUGUCUGGACAAAUGUGUUAUGCCUUGGGUCUGAGAGGUGUUGCAACAGGUUCUCAAAUGGUCCUUUCCUAGUCACAUCGUGCUGAACUACAAAUCCUAAGGAUGCACAGGCAUGUUAUUGUAGUCUCUUCUAAUUUUAUCGAGAUAUGGCAAUGAAGAAGCUGGCUGGGAUGCAAAUGCAACCUCUGAGGUCUAUCAGGUGGACUCCGUUGCGUCAUUCCACCCGAAGCUAUCUUACUCUAGUAGUUGAGUUCACGGCCAAGCUAUCUUUCCAUAGGAUCCCACAAAUCGUCGAUAAUAUCUAGUCAACACCCACCCUGCAGUUCUUUAAGUGUCUGAGGACGUGGCCAGUCUUUCAUAGUAGAUAACCUGUAUUUGUCUGUCACCACUCCAUUGUCUAAUAUGAUGUGCCCAAGAUACUCUAUCCCCGUUUGCCCAAAUGAACAUUUCUUCUUGUUUGCAAAGAGCUGGUUUUCUACUAGAAUUCAGCUCCACCAGAUUGAUAGACUCUGCCUCUGAAUUCAGCUGGAAUCCACCUGGAGUCAAGAUGAGAAUAGCACAGAGACAGAAAUAAAAUUCUGUAUUGAUUUGGAAAUGGAAUUACAAAACACGAAAGGAUUUACAAGCAGCAGUUAGAGAGGACUAUGACUCUCCACGCACUGAUUUCACUCACUAAAAUUAACAUAUCUUUCUUCUCUCAAUCUUUUUCUAUUUAUAGACUCAUGUAAUAGAUUUUGGCUACCUCACCACACCUGUCUAACAGAAUUUGUUACCCUCUCCUUUCUCCAUUCUGAUUGUUUCUUCUAGAAUAUGUGUAUUUAAUUGGGGACUUAUCAGUUGUCUUAUUUUCUGAAUGAAUUGUUGAGAACUUAAUGUGUCAUGUUAGGUUUUAUGUAAUUGGUGAUUUUGUGAACAAAAAAGACUAAAUUGAACACGUGUAAAGUCAAGGAGUUAGGUACAAUUUUGUAUAGACAAGUCAGGCAAGUUAGGAUUCGAGUCCGAAAUAAGAAAAGAAGAGACGUCACAUUUUCGCUAGCUACUGGCCAAAACAUUGUUCGAGCGACAAAAACAGAAUGAUUGUCGCUAGCCUGUCACUCGGACUUUGCUCAAUUUAAAGUCUGUCGCUCAUUUUUUGCUGGAGUGACCGUGUUAUGUGACCAACCCUAAUUUGCAAUUUUGAAAAGUUUUACAUGGACUAUAAUACCUAAAAAUCUGUAAAUAUAAAUAUCCAAGCUUUGUACUUUUUUAUGGUGGUUGUUCAUUAUGCCUCAUAUACAUAUCAUAUUCAUAUCAAUCUUUUGGUGAUCCAAGACUCACUCAUAGCUUGAUUCAAUCCUUUGAUUCUUGAGAUCUUGCAACCACAUAUUUGGGAAAACAUCAAAUACUUGAAUCCAAAACACCUAACUUCUUAACACUGUAAGGAAGAGACUUUUUUAGUUGGGCAUUGGGAGAGGUGGACUGCAAGCACGGGAAAGCAUAAGAAUUGACUAUUCUUGAAAUUCCGCUUGGAAGAGACAAUUGGAGAUAAUCGGGAAGCCAGUGGAGUCAGCAAAUCUGGGAGAUUACACAAGGUUGAUCGAAAAGUUUAGUGGAGUUAGCUAGAUAGUAUCUAACUGUAACGCUUAUUGUCUAUAGUGGAGGUAACUAACUUGGUUCCCGAGUUUUUAUCUAUUUGGGUUUCUCCAUCAACAAUAUUGGUGUUAUUUAUUGCUUUCAUAGUACAAACUACAGUAAUUCAACAAAGAAAAUUUUGACUUGCAUGCGUAACCAUCUAAAAAUAAUUAAUAAGUGACUUGUCGCUUGUAAUUGUAUAUUCCGCAUGUAAGGACAAACUAAAUCAGACAAGUAAAAGAACUUUCAAUAAUCCUUAUGAGUAGUAGGUGUAGUUAUAUACUGGUUUGAAGUUUGAAGUGCUGCGAGUGUUUAUGGAUAGGCUUCCGGUUCUUGGUAGUGCUUGUAACAUUGAACUAUUGCAAACCUGUUUCAUGGUGAAAUAGUGCAAUGGGGACAUAUCUGUCAUUUAUGAGGAGAGCGUUGAGAAUUAGAAACUCUAAUUCAAUACCACUGAGAGUAAUAAUAUCACAGAAAGAAAAUAUCACAGAAAGAAAAUAGACAUACAAAAAUGAGCAAAAUUUAUAGAAGUUUGUAUUAAUGUGGGACUACAUUAUCUUUCGUAACUACGAUAAAAAGAAGUUUACAAGAAAAACUCACACUUUAGGUAGAUUCGCGUACGUUAUCUACACAAUGACAAUAAUUAGGUUCCACAAUUUAGCAAAGAGUUCCAAAGAGAGACGUAAGCAGUGGCCAGCUGAAUUCCCUGCCCUUAAUUAGUGGCAAAAGAAUUCUGGUGUUCUUUUGAUUUCUUGCACGUGAUUUUAUUUUCUGCUGCGCGAUUCUUGUUAUCUGAUACCUAACACUAUGAAGGAACUCCUGAUGAUGAGGCUUGGGUAGUGGAUCUUCGUUGAGGCUACACAUGUGAAGGUGCUAAAUUCUACUCUGUGAGAAUUAUUAUUGAUAAAUGAGUUGUAGGUGGUACUCACUUUGUUCUGUAGUAUCUGUACCAAUUGUAUUGUUUCUUCGUUUGUAAUAGUGUUAUCAUUUAUGAUAGUGGACAAAAGCUCUAAAUCAAUCCAACAUUCCCUUGAGAUUUUAUGCAA
Long non-coding RNA from Olea europaea var. sylvestris, 3200 nucleotides. RefSeq lists it as uncharacterized. The transcript is spliced from 2 exons. NCBI's taxonomy places the organism in Eukaryota, Viridiplantae, Streptophyta, Magnoliopsida, Lamiales, Oleaceae. The record is from RefSeq and is a predicted model, not a curated record.